CCUGCACCUGCCGGCGACCGGCGCACGGGUGAGUAACACGUAUGGAACCUGCCCGCCACAGGGGGAUAACCCGGGGAAACCCGGCCUAAUACCCCAUGCCGCCCGGACCGGGCAUCCGGUCCGGGCGAAAGGAGGAAUCCGGUGGCGGCUGGGCAUGCGGCGCAUUAGCUUGACGGCGGGGUAACGGCCCACCGUGGCGACGAUGCGUAGGGGUUCUGAGAGUAAGGUCCCCCACACUGGUACUGAGACACGGACCAGACUCCUACGGGAGGCAGCAG
This 278-nucleotide ribosomal RNA is filed under the name uncultured bacterium. RNAcentral's name for it is "partial 16S ribosomal RNA". It matches the Rfam family "Bacterial small subunit ribosomal RNA", at positions 74 to 354 of the family's 1533-position model. The record is from RNAcentral.